UCAGGUCCCCGGAGGUUGGGGCGGCACAGUAAGGUCCCAGAGGGUCCCCUGAGGUCCCAGGCGAGUACCUCAGGUCCCUGAGGGCCUAGGCUGGGACCUCAGGUCCCAGAGGCGGACCUGAGGUCCGAGACGGUUACCUCAGGUCCCCGGGGGUUGGGGCGGCACAGUAAGGUCCCGGAGGGUCCCCUGAGGUCCCAGGCGAGUACCACAGGUCCCUGAGGGCCUAGGCUGGGACCUCAGGUCCCAGAGGCGGACCUGAGGUCCCAGAGGCGGACCUGAGGUCCGAGACGGUUACCUCAGGUCCCCAGGGGUUGGGGCGGCACAGUAAGGUCCCAGAGGGUCCC
Frankliniella occidentalis (western flower thrips) is the source of this 344-nucleotide long non-coding RNA. RefSeq lists it as uncharacterized. Lineage: Eukaryota; Metazoa; Arthropoda; Insecta; Thysanoptera; Thripidae. The transcript has 3 exons. The record is from RefSeq and is a predicted model, not a curated record.